This 483-nucleotide ribosomal RNA is filed under the name uncultured bacterium. Its description in RNAcentral is "partial 16S ribosomal RNA". It matches the Rfam family "Bacterial small subunit ribosomal RNA", at positions 28 to 507 of the family's 1533-position model. The record is from RNAcentral.
GACGAACGCUGGCGGCGUGCUUAACACAUGCAAGUCGAACGCUGAAGCUCAGCUUUUGUUGGGUGGAUGAGUGGCGAACGGGUGAGUAACACGUGAGUAACCUGCCCCCUUCUUUGGGAUAACGCCCGGAAACGGGUGCUAAUACUGGAUAUUCACUGGUCUUCGCAUGGGGGUUGGUGGAAAGGGUUUUUCUGGUGGGGGAUGGGCUCGCGGCCUAUCAGCUUGUUGGUGGGGUGAUGGCCUACCAAGGCUUUGACGGGUAUCCGGCCUGAGAGGGUGACCGGUCACAUUGGGACUGAGAUACGGCCCAGACUCCUACGGGAGGCAGCAGUGGGGAAUAAUGCACAAUGGGCGCAAGCCUGAUGCAGCGACGCCGCGUGAGGGAUGGAGGCCUUCGGGUUGUGAACCUCUUUCGCUCAUGGUCAAGCCGCAACAAUGGUUGUGGUGAGGGUAGUGGGUAAAGAAGCGCCGGCUAACUACGUG